UGGGGAAUUUUGGACAAUGGGCGCAAGCCUGAUCCUGCCAUGCCGCGUGAGUGAAGAAGGCCUUCGGGUUGUAAAGCUCUUUCGGUGGGGAAGAAAUUGCUUCGAUUAAUACUCGGAGUAGAUGACGGUACCCGCAUAAGAAGCACCGGCUAACUACGUGCCAGCAGCCGCGGUAAUACGUAGGGUGCGAGCGUUAAUCGGAAUUACUGGGCGUAAAGCGUGCGCAGGCGGUUGUGUAAGUCAGAUGUGAAAUCCCCGGGCUCAACCUGGGAACUGCAUUUGAGACUGCACGGCUAGAGUGUAGCAGAGGGGGGUAGAAUUCCACGUGUAGCAGUGAAAUGCGUAGAGAUGUGGAGGAAUACCGAUGGCGAAGGCAGCCCCCUGGGUUACUACUGACGCUCAUGCACGAAAGCGUGGGGAGCAAACA
Molecule: ribosomal RNA, 427 nt
Filed under: uncultured bacterium
Lineage: Bacteria
Description: bacterial SSU rRNA
Rfam family: Bacterial small subunit ribosomal RNA
Source: RNAcentral